CACGUAGGGUGCAAGCGUUGUCCGGAUUUAUUGGGCGUAAAGAGCUCGUAGGCGGUUCGGUAAGUCGGGUGGGAAACCUCCAGGCUCAACCUGGAGACGCCACCCGAUACUGCUGUGACUAGAGUGCGGUAGGGGAGACUGGAAUUCCUGGUGUAGCGGUGGAAUGCGCAGAUAUCAGGAGGAACACCGAUGGCGAAGGCAGGUCUCUGGGCCGCAACUGACGCUGAGGAGCGAAAGCAUGGGGAGCGAACAGG
RNAcentral lists this ribosomal RNA (254 nucleotides) under uncultured bacterium. RNAcentral describes it as "partial 16S ribosomal RNA". It matches the Rfam family "Bacterial small subunit ribosomal RNA", at positions 524 to 776 of the family's 1533-position model. The record is from RNAcentral.